GAUGAACGCUGGAGGCGUGCCUAAUACAUGCAAGUCGAGCGAACGGACGAGAAGCUUGCUUCUCUGAUGUUAGCGGCGGACGGGUGAGUAACACGUGGAUAACCUACCUAUAAGACUGGGAUAACUUCGGGAAACCGGAGCUAAUACCGGAUAAUAUUUUGAACCGCAUGGUUCAAAAGUGAAAGACGGUCUUGCUGUCACUUAUAGAUGGAUCCGCGCUGCAUUAGCUAGUUGGUAAGGUAACGGCUUACCAAGGCAACGAUGCAUAGCCGACCUGAGAGGGUGAUCGGCCACACUGGAACUGAGACACGGUCCAGACUCCUACGGGAGGCAGCAGUAGGGAAUCUUCCGCAAUGGGCGAAAGCCUGACGGAGCAACGCCGCGUGAGUGAUGAAGGUCUUCGGAUCGUAAAACUCUGUUAUUAGGGAAGAACAUAUGUGUAAGUAACUGUGCACAUCUUGACGGUACCCAAUCAGAAAGCCACGGCUAACUACGUG
Molecule: ribosomal RNA, 497 nt
Filed under: uncultured bacterium
Lineage: Bacteria
Description: partial 16S ribosomal RNA
Rfam family: Bacterial small subunit ribosomal RNA
Source: RNAcentral